UUCUUCGAAAAAAAUAUUUAAAAAAAUUAAUUAACUAAAAGGAACUCGGCAAAUUUAGUUGCUUCGCCUGUUUAUCAAAAACAUGGCUCUCUGCUUAUAUAUAUAGAGAGUCGAGCCUGCCCAGUGAAUUUUUCAACGGCCGCGGUACUCUGACCGUGCAAAGGUAGCAUAAUCAUUUGCCUUAUAAUUGAAGGCUAGUAUGAAUGGUUUGACGAGAGCAACGCUGUCUCUUUUUUAUUUUCAAGAACUUAACUUUUAGGUGAAGAGGCCUAAAUUUUAUUGAAGGACAAGAAGACCCUGUCGAGCUUAAAAGAUAUUAUAGAAGCUUAUAUAUUUUUAAAUAAAUUUUUCUAUUAAGCUUUUUAGUUGGGGCGACUAAGGAACAAAAAAAGCUUCUUGUUAAUAUUAAACAGUCACGUUUAGAUCCGGUAAUAAUCGAUUAAAGAAAUUAGUUACCGCAGGGAUAACAGCAUAAUCUCUCUUGAGAGACCUAAUCGAAAGAGGGGGUUGUGACCUCGAUGUUGGACUAGAAUAUCCUAAAGAUG
RNAcentral lists this ribosomal RNA (545 nucleotides) under Hua sp. DLN20170321. Its description in RNAcentral is "partial large subunit ribosomal RNA". It matches the Rfam family "Bacterial large subunit ribosomal RNA", at positions 1668 to 2555 of the family's 2925-position model. The record is from RNAcentral. Lineage: Eukaryota; Metazoa; Mollusca; Gastropoda; Semisulcospiridae.